RNAcentral lists this ribosomal RNA (302 nucleotides) under uncultured Synergistaceae bacterium. Its description in RNAcentral is "bacterial SSU rRNA". It matches the Rfam family "Bacterial small subunit ribosomal RNA", at positions 1082 to 1382 of the family's 1533-position model. Lineage: Bacteria; Thermotogati; Synergistota; Synergistia; Synergistales; Synergistaceae. The record is from RNAcentral.
AAGUCCCGCAACGAGCGCAACCCUGCAUCAGUUGCCAUCGGGUAAUGCCGGGCACUCUGGAAGGACUGCCAUCGACAAGGAUGGAGGAAGGUGGGGAUGACGUCAAGUCAUCAUGGCCCUUAUGUCCAGGGCGACACACGUGCUACAAUGGCCGGCACAACGGGAAGCGAGUUCGCGAGGACAAGCGGAUCCCUUAAAAGCCGGUCGCAGUUCGGAUUGAAGUCUGCAACUCGACUUCAUGAAGCUGGAAUCGCUAGUAAUCGUGGGUCAGCCAAGCCGCGGUGAAUACGUUCCCGGGCCUU